RNAcentral lists this unclassified non-coding RNA (346 nucleotides) under soil metagenome. RNAcentral describes it as "partial contains 5.8S ribosomal RNA, internal transcribed spacer 2, and large subunit ribosomal RNA". The stretch from base 1 to 120 matches the Rfam family "5.8S ribosomal RNA", at positions 35 to 154 of the family's 154-position model. The record is from RNAcentral.
GAUGAAGAACGUAGCGAAAUGCGAUACGUAAUGUGAAUUGCAGAAUUCAGUGAAUCAUCGAGUCUUUGAACGCACAUUGCGCCCCCUGGUAUUCCGGGGGGCAUGCCUGUCCGAGCGUCAUUGCUGCCCUCAAGCCCGGCUUGUGUGUUGGGUCUCGUCCCCCUUCCCGGGGGGACGGGCCCGAAAGGCAGCGGCGGCACCGUGUCCGGUCCUCGAGCGUAUGGGGCUUUGUCACCCGCUCUGUAGGCCCGGCCGGCGCUUGCCGAUCAACCAAAACUUUUUUCCAGGUUGACCUCGGAUCAGGUAGGGAUACCCGCUGAACUUAAGCAUGUCAAUAAGCGGAGGA